GACGAACGCUGGCGACGUGCUUAACACAUGCAAGUCGAACGGAAAGGCCCUGCUUUUGUGGGGUGCUCGAGUGGCGAACGGGUGAGUAACACGUGAGUAACCUGCCCUUGACUUUGGGAUAACUUCAGGAAACUGGGGCUAAUACCGGAUAGGAGCUCCUGCUGCAUGGUGGGGGUUGGAAAGUUUCGGCGGUUGGGGAUGGACUCGCGGCUUAUCAGCUUGUUGGUGGGGUAGUGGCUUACCAAGGCUUUGACGGGUAGCCGGCCUGAGAGGGUGACCGGCCACAUUGGGACUGAGAUACGGCCCAGACUCCUACGGGAGGCAGCAGUGGGGAAUAUUGCACAAUGGGCGGAAGCCUGAUGCAGCAACGCCGCGUGCGGGAUGACGGCCUUCGGGUUGUAAACCGCUUUCGCCUGUGACGAAGCGUGAGUGACGGUAAUGGGUAAAGAAGCACCGGCUAACUACGUGCCAGCAGCCGCGGUGAUACGUAGGGUGCGAGCGUUGUCCGGAUUUAUUGGGCGUAAAGGGCUCGUAGGUGGUUGAUCGCGUCGGAAGUGUAAUCUUGGGGCUUAACCCUGAGCGUGCUUUCGAUACGGGUUGACUUGAGGAAGGUAGGGGAGAAUGGAUUUCCUGGUGGAGCGGUGGAAUGCGCAGAUAUCAGGAGGAACACCAGUGGCGAAGGCGGUUCUCUGGGCCUUUCCUGACGCUGAGGAGCGAAAGCGUGGGGAGCGAACAGGCUUAGAUACCCUGGUAGUCCACGCUGUAAACGGUGGGUACUAGGUGUGGGGUCCAUUCCACGGGUUCCGUGCCGUAGCUAACGCUUUAAGUACCCCGCCUGGGGAGUACGGCCGCAAGGCUAAAACUCAAAGGAAUUGACGGGGCCCCGCACAAGCGGCGGAGCAUGCGGAUUAAUUCGAUGCAACGCGUAGAACCUUACCUGGGUUUGACAUGGAUCGGGAGUGCUCAGAGAUGGGUGUGCCUCUUUUGGGGUCGGUUCACAGGUGGUGCAUGGCUGUCGUCAGCUCGUGUCGUGAGAUGUUGGGUUAAGUCCCGCAACGAGCGCAACCCUUGUUCACUGUUGCCAGCACGUUAUGGUGGGGACUCAGUGGAGACCGCCGGGGUCAACUCGGAGGAAGGUGGGGAUGACGUCAAGUCAUCAUGCCCCUUAUGUCCAGGGCUUCACGCAUGCUACAAUGGCUGGUACAGAGAGUGGCGAGCCUGUGAGGGUGAGCGAAUCUCGGAAAGCCGGUCUCAGUUCGGAUUGGGGUCUGCAACUCGACCUCAUGAAGUCGGAGUCGCUAGUAAUCGCAGAUCAGCAACGCUGCGGUGAAUACGUUCCCGGG
This 1343-nucleotide ribosomal RNA is filed under the name uncultured bacterium. RNAcentral's name for it is "16S ribosomal RNA". It matches the Rfam family "Bacterial small subunit ribosomal RNA", at positions 28 to 1378 of the family's 1533-position model. The record is from RNAcentral.